UUCGCAAUGCCCGAAAGGGUGACGAAGCGACGCCGCGUGGGUGAGGAAGGCCUUCGGGUUGUAAAGCCCUGUCAGGAGUUAAGAAAUGUAAGUGCGCUAAUAUCGCAUUUAUUUGACGAAGGCUCCAAAGGAAGUCACGGCUAACUCUGUGCCAGCAGCCGCGGUAAUACAGAGGUGGCAAGCGUUGUUCGGAAUUAUUGGGCGUAAAGAGCACGUAGGUGGGUUUGUAAGUCAGAUGUGAAAGCCUCCUGUUCAACGGAAGAAUUGCAUCUGAAACUGCGAGUCUUGAGUGUAGGAGGGGAGAAUGGAACUUCUGGUGGAGCGGUGAAAUGCGUAGAUAUCAGAAGGAACGCCGGCGGCGAAAGCGAUUCUCUGGCCUAUUACUGACACUCAGUGUGCGAAAGCUAGGGGAGCAAACGGGAUUAGAUACCCCGGUAGUCCUAGCCGUAAACGAUGGGCACUAAGUAGAGGGGUUUU
RNAcentral lists this ribosomal RNA (477 nucleotides) under Candidatus Scalindua brodae. RNAcentral's name for it is "bacterial SSU rRNA". It matches the Rfam family "Bacterial small subunit ribosomal RNA", at positions 365 to 832 of the family's 1533-position model. Lineage: Bacteria; Pseudomonadati; Planctomycetota; Candidatus Brocadiia; Candidatus Brocadiales; Candidatus Scalinduaceae. RNAcentral also lists the same sequence under 1 other name. The record is from RNAcentral.